RNAcentral lists this ribosomal RNA (465 nucleotides) under uncultured bacterium. RNAcentral's name for it is "partial 16S ribosomal RNA". It matches the Rfam family "Bacterial small subunit ribosomal RNA", at positions 28 to 507 of the family's 1533-position model. The record is from RNAcentral.
GACGAACGCUGGCGGCGUGCUUAACACAUGCAAGUCGAACGGAAAGGCCCUGCUUGCAGGGUACUCGAGUGGCGAACGGGUGAGUAACACUUGGGUGAUCUGCCCUGCACUUCGGGAUAAGCCUGGGAAACUGGGUCUAAUACCGGAUAGGAGCCAUUUUUAGUGUGAUGGUUGGAAAGUUUUUUCGGUGUAGGAUGAGCUCGCGGCCUAUCAGCUUGUUGGUGGGGUAAUGGCCUACCAAGGCGGCGACGGGUAGCCGGUCUGAGAGGGUGGACGGCCACACUGGGACUGAGAUACGGCGCAGACACCUACGGGAGGCAUCAGUGGGGAAUAUUGCACAAUGGGCACUAGCCUGAUGCAGCGUAGCCGCGUGGGGGAUGGCGGCCUUCGGGUUGUAAUCUUCGUUCGCUAGAGACGAAGCUUUUUGUGACGGUACCUAGAUAAGAAGCACCGGCUAACUACGUG